CCUACGGGAGGCAGCAGUGAGGAAUAUUGGUCAAUGGGAGGAAGCCUGAACCAGCCAUGCAGCGUGCAGGACGACGGCUCUACGAGUUGUAAACUGCUUUUGUACAGGGGUAAAAUGCUCUACGAGUAGGGUUUUGAAAGUACGGUACGAAUAAGGAUCGGCUAACUCCGUGCCAGCAGCCGCGGUAAUACGGAGGAUCCGAGCGUUAUCCGGAUUCAUUGGGUUUAAAGGGUGCGUAGGUUGUUUUAUAAGUUAGCGGUGAAAUACCGAUGCUCAACAUCGGGGCUGCCGCUGAUACUGUCGGACUAGAGAUCGGAUGCAGCAGGCGGAAUGUGUAGUGUAGCGGUGAAAUGCAUAGAUAUUACGCAGAACACCGAUUGCGAAGGCAGCUUGCUAGGCCGGAUCUGACACUGAUGCACGAAAGCGUGGGGAUCGAACAGGAUUAGAUACCCCAGUAGUC
Molecule: ribosomal RNA, 460 nt
Filed under: uncultured bacterium
Lineage: Bacteria
Description: partial 16S ribosomal RNA
Rfam family: Bacterial small subunit ribosomal RNA
Source: RNAcentral